This 399-nucleotide ribosomal RNA is filed under the name uncultured microorganism. Its description in RNAcentral is "bacterial SSU rRNA". It matches the Rfam family "Archaeal small subunit ribosomal RNA", at positions 330 to 735 of the family's 1478-position model. The record is from RNAcentral.
GUGCACCAGUCGAGAAUACUUUACAAUGUGCGAAAGCACGAUAAGGGAACUCUGAGUGCCUCCUAAGGAGGCUGUUCAGGUGUCUAAAAGCACCUGAAGGAAGGGCUGGGUAAGACCGGUGCCAGCCGCCGCGGUAACACCGGCAGCCCAAGUGGUAGCCACGUUUAUUGGGCCUAAAGCGUCCGUAGCCGGCUGGGUAAGUUCCUUGGGAAAUUUGGCUGCUUAACAGUCAAGCUUUCAGGGAAUACUGCCCGGCUUGGGACCGGGAGAGGUCAGAGGUACUCCAGGGGUAGGGGUGAAAUCCAUUAAUCCUUGGGGGACCACCGGUAGCGAAGGCGUCUGACCAGACCGGGUCCGACGGUGAGGGACGAAGGCUAGGGGCGCGAACCGGAUUAGAUA